GAGUUUGAUCCUGGCUCAGGACGAACGCUGGCGGCGUGCCUAACACAUGCAAGUCGAACGGAGAACUCAAAAAGCUUGCUUUGAGAGUUCUUAGUGGCGGACGGGUGAGUAACGCGUGGGCAACCUCCCCCUUAAACCGGGACAACCCUUGGAAACGAGGGCUAAUACCGGAUACACUUUUCUGAGGACAUCCUCGGGAAAGGAAGGCGGCCUCUGAAGAUGCUGCUGAUAAGGGAUGGACCCG
This 244-nucleotide ribosomal RNA is filed under the name bacterium enrichment culture clone ALO1_GLFRUDD03FLDSJ. Its description in RNAcentral is "partial 16S ribosomal RNA". It matches the Rfam family "Bacterial small subunit ribosomal RNA", at positions 9 to 233 of the family's 1533-position model. The record is from RNAcentral.